This 429-nucleotide ribosomal RNA is filed under the name Pseudomonadota bacterium. RNAcentral's name for it is "Proteobacteria bacterium partial 16S ribosomal RNA". It matches the Rfam family "Bacterial small subunit ribosomal RNA", at positions 355 to 776 of the family's 1533-position model. The record is from RNAcentral. Lineage: Bacteria; Pseudomonadati; Pseudomonadota.
UGGGGAAUAUUGGACAAUGGGCGAAAGCCUGAUCCAGCCAUGCCGCGUGUGUGAAGAAGGUCUUCGGAUUGUAAAGCACUUUAAGUUGGGAGGAAGGGCAGUAAGCGAAUACCUUGCUGUUUUGACGUUACCGACAGAAUAAGCACCGGCUAACUCUGUGCCAGCAGCCGCGGUAAUACAGAGGGUGCAAGCGUUAAACGGAAUUACUGGGCGUAAAGCGCGCGUAGGUGGUUCGUUAAGUUGAAUGUGAAAGCCCCGGGCUCAACCUGGGAACUGCAUCCAAAACUGGCGAGCUAGAGUAGGGCAGAGGGUGGUGGAAUUUCCUGUGUAGCGGUGAAAUGCGUAGAUAUAGGAAGGAACACCAGUGGCGAAGGCGACCACCUGGGCUCAUACUGACACUGAGGUGCGAAAGCGUGGGGAGCAAACAGG